Molecule: ribosomal RNA, 467 nt
Filed under: uncultured bacterium
Lineage: Bacteria
Description: partial 16S ribosomal RNA
Rfam family: Bacterial small subunit ribosomal RNA
Source: RNAcentral
GACGAACGCUGGCGGCGUGCUUAACACAUGCAAGUCGUACGGAAAGGCCUCUUUCGGGGGGUACUCGAGUGGCGAACGGGUGAGUAACACGUGAGUAACCUGCCCUUGACUUUGGGAUAACUUCAGGAAACUGGGGCUAAUACCGGAUAUGACCCCCUGCUGCAUGGUGGGGGUUGGAACGUUUCGGCGGUUGGGGAUGGACUCGCGGCUUAUCAGCUUGUUGGUGGGGUAGUGGCUUACCAAGGCUUUGACGGGUAGCCGGCCUGAGAGGGUGACCGGCCACAUUGGGACUGAGAUACGGCCCAGACUCCUACGGGAGGCAGCAGUGGGGAAUAUUGCACAAUGGGUGGAAGCCUGAUGCAGCAACGCCGUGUGCGGGAUGACGGCCUUCGGGUUGUAAACCGCUUUCGCUCAUGACGAAGCUUUGUGUGACGGUAGUUGGUAAAGAAGCACCGGCUAACUACGUG